RNAcentral lists this ribosomal RNA (931 nucleotides) under human gut metagenome. RNAcentral's name for it is "bacterial SSU rRNA". It matches the Rfam family "Bacterial small subunit ribosomal RNA", at positions 145 to 1069 of the family's 1533-position model. The record is from RNAcentral.
ACCCAGCCGAAAGGUUGGCUAAUACCGCAUGAGUUCUACGGAAGAAAGAGGGGGACCCGCAAGGGCCUCUCGCGAGCGGAGCGGCCGAUGACUGAUUAGCCUGUUGGUGAGGUAACGGCUCACCAAAGCAACGAUCAGUAGCUGGUCUGAGAGGACGACCAGCCACACUGGGACUGAGACACGGCCCAGACUCCUACGGGAGGCAGCAGUGGGGGAUUUUGGACAAUGGGCGCAAGCCUGAUCCAGCUAUUCCGCGUGUGGGAUGAAGGCCCUCGGGUUGUAAACCACUUUUGUAGAGAACGAAAAGACAUCUUCGAAUAAAGGAUGUUGCUGACGGUACUCUAAGAAUAAGCACCGGCUAACUACGUGCCAGCAGCCGCGGUAAUACGUAGGGUGCAAGCGUUAAUCGGAAUUACUGGGCGUAAAGGGUGCGCAGGCGGUUGAGUAAGACAGAUGUGAAAUCCCCGAGCUUAACUCGGGAAUGGCAUAUGUGACUGCUCGACUAGAGUGUGUCAGAGGGAGGUGGAAUUCCACGUGUAGCAGUGAAAUGCGUAGAUAUGUGGAAGAACACCGAUGGCGAAGGCAGCCUCCUGGGACAUAACUGACGCUCAGGCACGAAAGCGUGGGGAGCAAACAGGAUUAGAUACCCUGGUAGUCCACGCCCUAAACGAUGUUAACUAGUUGUUGGGAUGUAACAAUCUCAGUAACGCAGCCAACGCGAGAAGUUAACCGCCUGGGAAGUACGGUCGCAAGACUAAAACUCAAAGGAAUUGACGGGGACCCGCACAAGCGGUGGAUGAUGUGGAUUAAUUCGAUGCAACGCGAAAAACCUUACCUACCCUUGACAUGUCAGGAAGCUCUUGUAAUGAGAGCGUGCCCGCAAGGGAGCCUGAACACAGGUGCUGCAUGGCUGUCGUCAGCUCGUGUCGUG